Molecule: non-coding RNA, 6254 nt
Organism: Callithrix jacchus (white-tufted-ear marmoset)
Lineage: Eukaryota; Metazoa; Chordata; Mammalia; Primates; Cebidae
Source: RefSeq, a predicted model, not a curated record
AAGGAUUCAGGGCAGGAGAGUUUAUCAGAGGCUUGGACUGCUUCUGUGUCUCUUUGUUUGCUUCUCUGAGAGGGAGAGUUGUGUGUCUGUUCCCAUAAAUCUUUCUGCAGCUGCAGGCAUACUGGCCAGAGUCCGCUUUCAGCUUUCCUGUCUUAGUGCACCUGAAGGUAAAGGAAUGUGCUGGGGCCCAUUGUGUGAGGGUGAAGUUUGUCUAGGAGACACCGCCCCCCCGCCCCGUGCCUGAGCUGUCCUAUCUGUGUUUUACUGUCUGCUCUUUCUGGCUGCUUGUAGUUAGAAGAUAAGUGAUUUCAUUGAAAUGCAAGAGGCUAGAGAGGGAGCUGGAACUUAAAGGUGGUGUUUGUUCAAGAUGAUGGUGCUGCUGCUCUGUCACUUACUAAGAUGGCCAAGUCAACCUGAAAGGAAUGAAGAAGUCAGCUGUGCGUCCAAGCAAAGCCGGCCAGUGAUGGAGAAGACUCUGCUGCCUUCAGAAAGAACACAUCAAUUUUCUCAACGGAGCAAGAGUUUCUGUUAUUAAUUAUAAUGCUGCCGUGUGUUGGGUUAAUGGGUAACAGUAUCACAGAAUUUUCAUGGUUUUUGUCUCAUUGUUCUGCUACCCAUGAUAAUACCAGGUUGAGAAGACAAAACACUUGUUCUUUAAGAGACUGAGGCACUUGACAAUGGUAUAGCACAAAGGACGAGCACCAGGGUGAUUCUGGGACAUUUUCCACCAGAUCUGGCAUUUAUGGGACACUGUUAACUUUAAGCAAUUGUUUUUUAUAAAUAUCAAAGUUGAAUAGUAGACUUUUGCCUUCUUCGUAACUAUUUUUUUCUUGCUUGUAAAAAAUCUGGAGAAAUAUCUAGAUGGACAAAUUAGAAAAUAAAAACAGUUCAUGAUUGUACUCUCCAGGUACAACCUCUUUUGUCAUCUUUCUGCAUUUACCUGUUAGUCUAUUUGCAUCUAUAAAGAGUGCUAUUAGAAAUUAACAUGAGGUUUGUCUCACAUUAUUAAAUACUCUUCUACCCCAUGUUUCCAUCGGCUGAAUAGUACACCAUUAUUACCAUAAUUUAUUUAACACAUUCUCUAAACAACUGUUUAGAUCUCCCGCAUUGUUGGAAGUGGGAAGUGCAGGAAGGCAGAGUGCACAGCCACGCCUGCUGGUACUUCUGUGUUAUGUAUUAUAAGCAACCCUUCAGUCAACACAGACGUUCGGAUACCUUCAUGGACAGCUCUGAUUUUUCUCGGGAUAAACCUCUGGAAAUGGAACUCCAAGACUAUGAAUAUAUUGAACGGUUUUUGAUGACUUGUCUUCUGCAAAGGUUUUACCAGUGUAUCCUCCAAAGUGGUGUCGGAGAAUGUCCUUUCUACUGCCCCCCCCAGAGAUACUUGAUGAGAGCACGGAGGGCCGGAAAGGUUCGUGGACUCGGCCACCAUCAGGGAUCAGGAGGUCCAGGAACCAGGGCUCGAAUCUCUAGCCUCACUCUCUUGCCGACAUGUCGUCUCUCGCGGUGGGGCAGGACAGGAGAGGAGAAACUGUUUAGUCAUCGCUGAGUGAGCAGCUACUCCGUGUUGGAAUAACGCGUCCUCAGUUCUGGCUGUCCCUGAGUAGUCAACAAAACAACCAACAGAGCCAGUGCCCAGUGAGUCAGAGUCUCCUGGUGGCCUGGGGGCAGGUCGGAAUUUCCCAGGUGGUGUCCAGGUGUGGCCAGGGUCAGAAGCUAGUCCAGCACUUUACGUCCAGCCCCUCCCCGCCGCCUGGAGCUUCAUUACCCGUCACUUUGACAUAUCGUCCACGCCAGCAACCUGAAACCCGUGCCUGUUUUGCUUACCUGCUCAUCAUUUACAGAGGAGAGACCUUGGCACCUAGGCUCCAGGGAAACUCCACAUUCACCUGUAACAGGGAAGGAGGGGGUUCCCGAGAAGCGUCACUGCCCCGUAGGUGAAUGGAGGAAGCUGCUUCUGGCUUUCUGUGGUGUUGAUGCUUCUCUAGGACACUGCUUCAUAACUGAACAGAAUGGAGCCAGGUAGGCCAGGCUGGAUGGGAGAAGCACCUCAGAGUGUGUAGCCAGAGGAUCCCGAGAUGUAACUGGAACUUCCCCCCCUCAGGCAGUUAAGAGCUUUCUGAUGCCUUCUAAAAAUUAGGCAGAUGAAGUCUAAGGCAGGCAGGGCAUUCCCUCCAGAGCCAGAUGUAUGGAGGAGGAAUCCUCUCCUUCUACUUUUUAUCCAUGUGAACUUCAGGGGCUCUUAUCAUCCUGGCAGGAGCCUCUUGUCAGGAAUGGAGUCAGUCUCAGGAAGUUGACUUCCUCCUGCUCCCUGGCCAGAGGCCCAUCUUCAAAGACUUCAUUCUAUGUUCACUGGGGGGACCAAGCAAAGCCUCCAGGUGGCCCCUCAAAUCCAUCCUGACGGCUGGAAAAGCACCCUAGAAACACGGGUCCUUCUGGCCCUAAAGCUUGUCCUCAAAGCUUCCUUCAGGGACCAGACCAUCUACUUUAUUAAAGGACAGUGCACUAUUAUUAAAUGUUUUUGUGGUGAUACAGGAGUGAGCAAUCAGAUACGUGUUCAAAUUGAGAUACAUGUUCACAUUGAGAUACAUGUUCACAUUCGGAUACAUGUUCAAAUUGAGACACAUGUUCACAUUGAGAUACAUGUUCACAUUCGGAUAUAUGUUCACAUUUGGACACACGUUCACAUUCGGAUACACGAUCACAUGCGGAUACGUGUUCACAUUCAGACACGUGUUCACAUGCGGAUAUGUGUUCACAUGCAGAUACGUGUUCACAUUCAGACACGUGUUCACAUGCGGAUACGUGUUCACAUGCGGAUACGUGUUCACAUUCAGACACGUGUUCACAUGCGGAUACACGUUCACAUUCAGACACGUGUUCAUAUGCGGAUAUGUGUUCACAUUCAGAUACAUGUUCAAAUUCUCACCCUCAACCCCUCCUGCCGGGAAGGUCAUCCAGAGUGAACUAUUUAUUUCUUUCUUAUCUUUUAGAAACAAAGUCUUGUUCUGUUGCCCAGACUCAAGUGCAGUGGUGUGAUCACAGUUCACUGCAACCUCAAACUGGUGGGCUCGAGUGAUUCUUCGAGUGUGGACCACCACAUCUGGCUAUUACUUUAUUAUUGUAUUGUUUUUAGAGAUGGGGGUCUUGCUAUGUAGCCGAGGCUGGACUGGAGACUUUCAUUUACGGAACCGAGGCACUGUUGCUACCAAAAGUGCCCACAGGACAUUUUCCUAGCUAAUGUCAAGCAUUGGAGGCUUUAGGCCCAGCGACACGGGGGACCCUGAGAGGCCGAGUAAAGUAGCAUUUGUGCUUCCACUGAUGGCAGUGAGGCACUCCUGGACCGCACUGGCUACAUCUGGCUCCUAAGGACUACUUGUCGCUUGGUCCCUGGAGAAAGCCACUAGGCUUCCCCAGGCUCUGGCACCUGGCUGCACGCUAAGAACUGGAGAUUGUGUGUGGCGUGUAAGGAGGAGGUGUUUCUGGGCCUGGCUCAGAAGGCUGCAAUAGUGGCACUCCAUUUCCUUCUCCAGAUACCCCUCCCUGCCCGACUUCCAUUCCUUCCCUUCCCUGGCUUCACGCUGCCUCCAUGCCCCGUCUUCCCAAUGCAAACCUUUCCUGCAGGGCAGGUCUUGUGGCCUUUCAUCCCAAAAAACAUCACACCCUUUUCUUCCUCCUUGGGUUUGCUCAUGUCAUUCCCUGCCCAAGUAGCUCUUUCCUUUCUCCUUCUCCCAUCCAAUGCCUCCAGGGUCCAGCUCAAGUCUCACUCUACCUAGUGAACCUUCGCCGUCCUUGAUCUGUGUGGUACCUUGAGCGUGCUCCAGGGAUGUUAGGAUAGCAGCAGCCACACUUUCCUUACUUCCUGCUCUAGUCCUACCACACAAUUCAGACUUAAUUUUUAACCACCUCUGCUGGUUCAUCAACUCUUUUCAAUGAUAAGACCCUUGAAGUCGGGGAUCAAUGCCAAGCACUUCUCUUGUGUGCCUGACUGUGGCAUGGACACAGAACAAACAUGUGGAAACCUCACGUGUACCAGAGGCUGAGCUGAGCACAGACACGUCCUCAGCUUCCUGGAGUUCAUACUUGGGUGGAGGAGACAGACCUGUGUUCCUAACACUGGGAGGUCACGGUCAGGGAGAGCUGGGAGCACAGAGCUGGUUUGAUUCCUGGGGGAGAAACAUGUUUUGAGGCUCUUUGAGUGUUGGUGACGUUGCCCUAAGGGCGUUCUAAGAGGAAGGUCAGUGAAGACAGCGUUUCUGAAGAUAUAUAAGUAAACUCCUUUUGCCUCACAAACUUCCACCACUUUCGUCAAUAACAAUGUUGCUGGCCUCUGACUGUCUGACCCCUUCCUUGCCUUCGGGUCCCAGCACCUGGCACAGCGCCUGUGGGAAUGCAGAUGGGGGGCCUCGCCUUCUGUUUCUGGGACAAGCCUCAGGCUCCCACCCUCACAGGCUUCAGUGCACAGAGGCUUUCAGGUUCUUUUCUUCCUUCAUCACGAUAUUAGUGAAACCCUAUCACAGCCUUUGCCUUCUCAUAUGCUACCCUGGAUUUUAAGGAAGUUCGGCGUGAAUACAUGAGGCAAACACCAACAGGAACUCGACCUCCAUUCCCGUGGGUUAGUGUGUCAGCUUCCUCUGCUGUGCUGGAGUAGCAGCAGUCCCAGACCUCAUCGGCUCACAAUCACAUCAGCAGCAGCCCAGGCGUGCCCCUUCUUCAUGGUCAUGUCACAUGGCGAUUCAGGCUAAAGGUGCACCCUCAUCCCCGACACAUUCCUAGGGCAGAGGGGAAAAGGGCUAUGGUGAAACUAUGUCACGCUCAUGCAGUCCUGCUGGGAGCAUGCUGCCCUGUCACCCAGUCCACACCAGUCCAUGGGAAGUGAAAUUGCCCUGUGGGACGAGCUUGGUAGUGGUGGACAGAGAAUGUUUUGAAUGAGCAAAGCCAUCUGCUGUAGUUUCCUCUCCCGAUCAUGAAUAUUUGCCCCACUUCAUUCCACAUGCAAAAUGCACUAGUUCUUUCCCAGGAGAAACACCCCAGAAGCCUUAUUCAAGUCUCAGAUCCUCGGAUAAUCUUUAAACCAGGUUUGGGUGUGACGCCUCUCGAUGCAGAGACCUACAGGUUAAACCAACCAUUAGAUAAUGAAGUAGCGAUGACUGUCUUCCGGCCACCGUCUCAAUACACAACAGCUGAGCAACAGCCUGACAUGGGCAGCGCACAUUCCCUGGGAACAGAUUCAGGUCAGUCACCAGGCGGUAGCACGUCCAACACCUUAGCGGGCAGGGGAUGCUGGGGCUGCUGGGAAAUGGGAGCAUUCCCUGAGCAGCUCCUGCUCCUUCUCCUCCCAGGCUGUUGUUCCCAUGGCCUUUGACUCAAUCUUCUGGGAGGUUCUUAAUUUUCCUGGUAGGGAUGGAUCCAGGGGAGAGAAGCAACAGAACAUAGUAAACCACCAGUCCACUCUGCCACACUGAGCUUGGCUCCAGUCGCUAUACCUUCAUUUGAUACUUUUCCUCUGAAGAUUGUUAGGCUACAAGUAAAACACAAGCAAAUCAAUUUUCCACAAACUGUUACUUCCAUGGAUCCACCCAUUACUUUAUUUGUUUCCCAAAUUAUCCACUGCAAAGGAUUAAAAUUUUUAUUUUCUUUUUUUUUUUUUCUUCUUUUUUUCUUUUUCUUUUUUUCUUUUUCUUCUUUUCUUUUUCUUUUCUGGGUUCUUUUUUUUUUUUUUUUUUAAUUUUUUAUUGGAUUAUAGGUUUUGGGGUACAUGAGCAGAGCAUGCAAGACAGUUGCGUAGGUACACACAUGGCAGUGUGCUUUCUUUUCUUCUCCCCUUCACCCACAUUUGGCAUUUCUACCCAGGCUAAAAUUUUUAUUUUCAAUCUCAAUGAAAUUGACAACGACCUACAAAAUACAAGCCAGUGUUUUCUAUCUUAGGUAGGACAAGACAAAAAAAUGUUUUGUUCAACUUGCCAUACAAGUGUCUAAGGCCUUACUGCCAAUUCUGUCCUUCCUGCAGACUGCAUUUCGAGGAGCAGUAUUCUAAAAGAAGGCAAGUUCACCUUUUAAAGGAUCUCUGUGUGCAUCUGCACCUGUACGAAAUGUUUAGAAUUUUCUAAAUGUGCCUUUCUUAUGAUUAGAAGACUCAGCUUGGCUUUUGAGAAAUAGAAAGAAAGAAUUUGUUCAAAUUAGUUGGUGCUGGGGUUUCAAUGUGUCCCCUUCAAAGUUCAGGUGUUGCCAAUAUAAUAGCAUUAGGAGGUAGA